This 464-nucleotide ribosomal RNA is filed under the name uncultured bacterium. RNAcentral's name for it is "partial 16S ribosomal RNA". It matches the Rfam family "Bacterial small subunit ribosomal RNA", at positions 29 to 507 of the family's 1533-position model. The record is from RNAcentral.
ACGAACGCUGGCGGCGUGCUUAACACAUGCCAGUCGAACGGAAAGGCCCUGCUUGCCGGGUACUCGAGUGGCGAACGGGUGAGUAACACGUGGGUGAUCUGCCCUGCACUUCGGGAUAAGCCUGGGAAACUGGGUCUAAUACCGGAUAGGAGCCAUUUUUAGUGUGAUGGUUGGAAAGUUUUUUCGGUGUAGGAUGAGCUCGCGGCCUAUCAGCUUGUUGGUGGGGUAAUGGCCUACCAAGGCGGCGACGGGUAGCCGGCCUGAGAGGGUGGACGGCCACAUUGGGACUGAGAUACGGCCCAGACUCCUACGGGAGGCAGCAGUGGGGAAUAUUGCACAAUGGGCGCAAGCCUGAUGCAGCGACGCCGCGUGGGGGAGGACGGCCUUCGGGUUGUAAACUCCUUUCGCUAGGGACGAAGCUUUUUGUGACGGUACCUAGAUAAGAAGCACCGGCUAACUACGUG